ACCCUUUAAUGUUUGAUGUUCUAACGUGGACCCGUAAUCCGGGUUGCGGACAGUGUCUGGUGGGUAGUUUGACUGGGGCGGUCUCCUCCUAAAGAGUAACGGAGGAGCACGAAGGUUGGCUAAUCCUGGUCGGACAUCAGGAGGUUAGUGCAAUGGCAUAAGCCAGCUUGACUGCGAGCGUGACGGCGCGAGCAGGUGCGAAAGCAGGUCAUAGUGAUCCGGUGGUUCUGAAUGGAAGGGCCAUCGCUCAACGGAUAAAAGGUACUCCGGGGAUAACAGGCUGAUACCGCCCAAGAGUUCAUAUCGACGGCGGUGUUUGGCACCUCGAUGUCGGCUCAUCACAUCCUGGGGCUGAAGUAGGUCCCAAGGGUAUGGCUGUUCGCCAUUUAAAGUGGUACGCGAGCUGGGUUUAGAACGUCGUGAGACAGUUCGGUCCCUAUCUGCCGUGGGCGCUGGAGAACUGAGGGGGGCUGCUCCUAGUACGAGAGGACCGGAGUGGACGCAUCACUGGUGUUCGGGUUGUCAUGCCAAUGGCACUGCCCGGUAGCUAAAUGCGGAAGAGAUAAGUGCUGAAAGCAUCUAAGCACGAAACUUGCCCCGAGAUGAGUUCUCCCUGAGACUUUAGGUCUCCUGAAGGAACGUUGAAGACGACGACGUUGAUAGGCCGGGUGUGUAAGCGCAGCGAUGCGUUGAGCUAACCGGUACUAAUGAACCGUGAGGCUUAACCUUACAAC
RNAcentral lists this ribosomal RNA (734 nucleotides) under Salmonella enterica. RNAcentral's name for it is "partial 23S ribosomal RNA". It matches the Rfam family "Bacterial large subunit ribosomal RNA", at positions 2202 to 2925 of the family's 2925-position model. The record is from RNAcentral. Lineage: Bacteria; Pseudomonadati; Pseudomonadota; Gammaproteobacteria; Enterobacterales; Enterobacteriaceae. RNAcentral also lists the same sequence under 3 other names.